This is a non-coding RNA of Enterococcus sp., 71 nucleotides long. The record is from Rfam. NCBI's taxonomy places the organism in Bacteria, Bacillati, Bacillota, Bacilli, Lactobacillales, Enterococcaceae.
AGAGUGUUAUGAUGUUGGAGGCGACUCCUAGUCUAGCUCAACGCUUUCCCUGCUGAACUCGUUUAGCAGGG